GAUCCUGGCUCAGAUUGAACGCUGGCGGAAUGCUUUACACAUGCAAGUCGAACGGUAGAGGGGGCAACCCCUUGAGAGUGGCGAACGGGUGAGUAAUAUAUCGGAACGUGCCCAGUCGUGGGGGAUAACGUAGCGAAAGUUACGCUAAUACCGCAUACGAUCUACGGAUGAAAGCGGGGGACUCGCAAGAGCCUCGCGCGAUUGGAGCGGCCGAUAUCAGAUUAGGUAGUUGGUGGGGUAAAGGCUCACCAAGCCAACGAUCUGUAGCUGGUCUGAGAGGACGACCAGCCACACUGGAACUGAGACACGGUCCAGACUCCUACGGGAGGCAGCAGUGGGGAAUUUUGGACAAUGGACGCAAGUCUGAUCCAGCCAUUCCGCGUGCAGGAUGAAGGCCCUCGGGUUGUAAACUGCUUUUGUACGGAACGAAAAGGUUUCUAUUAAUACUAGGAGCUCAUGACGGUACCGUAAGAAUAAGCACCGGCUAACUACGUG
This 495-nucleotide ribosomal RNA is filed under the name uncultured bacterium. RNAcentral describes it as "bacterial SSU rRNA". It matches the Rfam family "Bacterial small subunit ribosomal RNA", at positions 15 to 507 of the family's 1533-position model. The record is from RNAcentral.